Molecule: ribosomal RNA, 460 nt
Filed under: uncultured bacterium
Lineage: Bacteria
Description: partial 16S ribosomal RNA
Rfam family: Bacterial small subunit ribosomal RNA
Source: RNAcentral
CCUACGGGUGGCUGCAGUGAGGAAUAUUGGUCAAUGGGCGCGAGCCUGAACCAGCCAAGUAGCGUGAAGGAUGACUGCCCUACGGGUUGUACACUUCUUUUAUAAAGGAAUAAAGUGAGGCACGUGUGCCUUUUUGUAUGUACUUUAUGAAUAAGGAUCGGCUAACUCCGUGCCAGCAGCCGCGGUAAUACGGAGGAUUCGAGCGUUAUCCGGAUUUAUUGGGUUUAAAGGGAGCGUAGACGGGUUGUUAAGUCAGUUGUGAAAGUUUGGGGCUCAACCGUAAAAUUGCAAUUGAUACUGGCAGUCUUGAGUAAAGUUGAGGUAGGCGGAAUUCGUGGUGUAGCGGUGAAAUGAUUAGAUAUCACGAAGAACUCCGAUUGCGAAGGCAGCAUACUAAACUGCCACUGACAUUGAUGCUCGAAAGUGUGGGUAUCAAACAGGAUUAGAUACCCGAGUAGUC